GAUGAACGCUGGCGGCGUGCCUAAUACAUGCAAGUCGAACGAAACUUCUUUAUCACCGAGUGCUUGCACUCACCGAUAAAGAGUUGAGUGGCGAACGGGUGAGUAAUACGUGGGCAACCUGCCCAAAAGAGGGGGAUAACACUUGGAAACAGGUGCUAAUACCGCAUAACCAUAGUUACCGCAUGGUAACUAUGUAAAAGGUGGCUAUACUACCGCUUUUGGAUGGGCCCGCGGCGCAUUAGCUAGUUGGUAGGGUAAAGGCUUACCAAGGCAAUGAUGCGUAGCCGAAUUGAGAGGUUGAUCGGCCACAUUGGGACUGAGACACGGCCCAAACUCCUACGGGAGGCAGCAGUAGGGAAUCUUCCACAAUGGGCGAAAGCCUGAUGGAGCAACGCCGCGUGGGUGAAGAAGGUCUUCGGAUCGUAAAACCCUGUUGUUAGAGAAGAAAGUGCGUGAGAGUAACUGUUCACGUUUCGACGGUAUCUAACCAGAAAGCCACUGCUAACUACGUG
Molecule: ribosomal RNA, 512 nt
Filed under: uncultured bacterium
Lineage: Bacteria
Description: partial 16S ribosomal RNA
Rfam family: Bacterial small subunit ribosomal RNA
Source: RNAcentral